UACGAGGGGUGCAAGCGUUGCUCGGAAUUAUUGGGCGUAAAGGGUAGGUAGGUGGUCUCGUUUGUCUGGGGUGAAAGCCCGGAGCUUAACUUCGGAAGUGCCCCAGAAACGGCGAGACUCGAGUCCUGGAGAGGGUCGUGGAAUUCCCGGUGUAGCGGUGAAAUGCGUAGAGAUCGGGAGGAACACCAGAGGCGAAGGCGGCGACCUGGACAGGUACUGACACUCAACUACGAAAGCGUGGGGAGCAAACAGG
This 253-nucleotide ribosomal RNA is filed under the name uncultured prokaryote. Its description in RNAcentral is "partial 16S ribosomal RNA". It matches the Rfam family "Bacterial small subunit ribosomal RNA", at positions 524 to 776 of the family's 1533-position model. The record is from RNAcentral.